GCCGGGCAUGGUGGCUCAUGCCUGUAAUCCCAGCACUUUGGGAGGCAGAGAUGGGUGGAUCACCUGAGGUCAGGAGUUCCAGACCAGCCUGACCAACAUGGUGAAACCCUGUCUCUA
RNAcentral lists this signal recognition particle RNA (117 nucleotides) under Pan paniscus (pygmy chimpanzee). RNAcentral's name for it is "Metazoan signal recognition particle RNA". It matches the Rfam family "Metazoan signal recognition particle RNA". From Rfam's summary of the family: The signal recognition particle (SRP) is a universally conserved ribonucleoprotein. It is involved in the co-translational targeting of proteins to membranes. The record is from Rfam by way of RNAcentral. Lineage: Eukaryota; Metazoa; Chordata; Mammalia; Primates; Hominidae. RNAcentral also lists the same sequence under 1 other name.